CACUUUUCACCCUAGGUCCAACUGACUCUAGGUCUAAUGCCUCGAUGUCACAACCUAGGUUUACUUUAACUCUAGGUUCAGUUCUCAACCUAUGUUCUUUAACACUAGGUUAGAUGCCACACACCUAGAUCCCGACUCUAGGUUCAUACUCAACCUAUGUUCUUUAACACUAGGUUAGAUGCCACUCGUUAUUUAUCCUAGGUUCAACAACGCUAGGUUCAAUGUCAUUUAUGUCCGACCUAUGUUUAACACUAGGUUAGUGCCACUCGAUCUACUUGAUUUCCUAUUUGUCAUAUCGAGUCCAUUUGCACAUGCAUCUUAUCUAACAUGCUCACAUGACGUUACAUGCAUCUAGCAUACAUUUCCAAUGCACACAUACAUUUGCAUUAUCACCAGCAUGCAUUCUAUAUCAUAUCAUUUUACAUGGAUCUACUUAGCAUUUACAUCAUAUUAUUAACAUGCAUUAGCUACAUGAAUCAACCACAUGCUUUAUUUACAUUUAUAUGCAUCAUCAUGGAUUCUUAAUCAUCUUAGACAUAAAGGGCGACCUAGUCGCUUCGGUAAACAUAGCCCAACUUAACUCGCGUUCCGAUUGCUCGUUGACACUUGCAAUAGGCUUCCCGCGGCACUCGGCACCCGUUUGGGCCCUAACUCACAGUUGCUCUCCAAGAGCGCGCUGCUGCGCCGUUUCAAGUGCUAACGGUCUUCGCCUCGCCGUUACGAUGCUCGGGACCCGAUUUCAUGAUUUAUGGACGUCGCCUCGGCCCUCCAGGCGGAAACGAAGCUUCAAGCGUCCAUUUCUUCAAUAUCUUUGUAACGGCUCAUCGGAUUGCCGAAUCGUCUUCGCCAACGUGUUUCGUUACCUAUCAAUUAGGUUUACAGAGGGUUAAAUGAGAUCAAACCCUCAUAUAUAUCAAAACGCCAUUUUGGAGCCCUAGGUUUGCAUCUAAGCAAAAACCACCAUUUGAACUCUAGAUUCAAGCAUUAAACAUCUAUUAAGCUUGCUAGAAUUGCAUCUAAACCAUCCUUAGGGUGCAUAAACCAAACCCUAAGAAGUUACCAUUAGAGCCCUAGAAGCUUACCUCUCUAGGUUUGCUCCAAGCACGAGGAAGACGAAGGAGAGGAUGAAGAUCCCCUUCUUGAUCUUCUUCUCCUUCUUCUUCUUCUUUCUCUCCUUCUCCUUCCUCUUCUUCUUCCUCUCCUUCUAUUUCGUUUAGAGAGAGAGAGGGACACGUUUGGGGCUAAACGGGUGAGGGAGGAGAGAGGAAGACCUAAUUUCCUCUUCUAUACACUUAACCCAUGCAUAAAAUGCAAAUAAACCCCUCUACAAUGCCUCUCUUGCAACAACCCGAACUGGGCAUUUUAGGGGUUCGGGGACUGGUCUCUGCAUGCGGGACCGGUCCCUGAGAGACCGGUCUCUCUGCUUGGGACCGGUCCUAGAGAGACCUCCAGCCCAGACUUAGCCAAUUUUCAGCUUCGUCCGUUUUCGCUCCGUUUUCGCCCGUUUUCGUUCAUUUGACCUCCGAUUCAUUUCAAAUCGAACCGAGACUCUCCAAAUAUAUUUUCAAACAUGUUUUCAUCAUCUUUCCAUCCUCGCUAAUGCCGGAUUUAGCUCACGGCCCAACUUAGCCUUUCGGGUUCCGUUUUCGCGCCUAUGCGCACUGAAAUGCCCGAUUGCUCCAGAACUUCACUGAACCUCACGAAACCAUCCAAAUGGCUUUCCAAAGCAACGUACACCAUAACUUCAUAGUUUUAGAAGUCCGGUACCUUACAUCCUCUCCUCCUUAAAAGAGUUUCGUCCCCGAAACUAACUCACUUCAAUCCAAUUAAUACUCUAACUUGGUUUAUCGAGCAAUGGGGGAUUCCAAUGCACUUUUGUGUUCCGGAGUGGUCUUUUACUCAUUGGGAUUAUCCAAAGGCCCACUACGGAGGAUGUGAGACUAGAUUCACUCACAUUUGCUAAGCGUAACUCUGAAAGUGCAUUACGGGUCUCCGUCAUUCCUGGUGGUAGCGCAAGUCGAAGCUCAACGACUCUACGCGCUCCAACACCAUUCACCAUCUGGCAUGCAAGGACUCUUCUUUGCAUUCCACACCUUGUCAGGGAACACACUCCGAUUCGAUUACCGGCGUUGCUUAGAAGCAAUAUCCUUGGUGCAUCGACCCAUCGCGAGUGCUCCAAUCACAUUUGGACUUUUCUCUACCGUGAGAUGGCCUACCCCGGCAUAUCUCAAACCUCCAAUUCUCAAGAGAGCAUUGUCCACAACUCCAUGCGGCUAUCUGGUAUUCAAGUGUCUCCAAGAGACCACUUUUCUUUAUUUCUCAAUUGCCACUUUUAACCUCAAAUUGCUCUACUACGAGAUGGCCUACCCUGGCACAUCUCUCGAACUUCAAUCGACGAAAGAGUGUUAUCUCCAAGUUUUCCAAGUUUUCCCAGCAUAACCCAGCCUGCCCGGGCAAGUUUCAUACUCGGGGACCAGUCUCUCCCGCCAGGGACCGGUCCUAGAGGACCUUCUCUAAUUCACGCGUUCGGGAACCGGUCUCCCUGGCCCAGGGACCGGUUGCCUCGCGCGUCGUUGCAACCACUAGCCGGUGGGACCGGUCUCUCCCUGCCAGGGACCGGUCCCCGAGAGCAAUUUCUGCCAAGUGUAGAUUUUUGCAUAACUUGCUCUCGCGGAUCCGUUACAAUGCACUUUUGGUGCAUUUGACUUCUUCAGCUUUUACAAAGCACUCCCACUCGACAAUUAGUCGAUCUUGAGCGAAGUUCAACUCUCGUAUUUCGAGAAUUCACUUCCCUACUCCAACUCCUCCACAGAGUUAUCGGCUAAACCGAUUACGUCGGCUUUCACAGGUGGACCAACAGUCACCAACAUCACGUAAGCCUACCGCCUAAACCCGUCGCAACUACGCAUAGCGUCUCUCGCUCGCAUCGUAGACCCAAUCCUCAUUUCCUGGCGAAUUUCUCACUUGGGAAUUCGCACACACUCCAACAGGAGCAACCAAGACUCCAAACCACACCAUGUCCUCGGGUUGGGUCACCACACAUUCGGUGUGUCCUCGAUCUUAUGAUCUAACACGUGGCAUUCCACGUACUCGGGUCUAAGCUCGGACUAUCGUCCUGACCAAAACUCUCCGCCCUACCUAUAAGUAUCGGGCCGCUGUCUCUCACAGCUGACUGCGCCGGCCCAAUGGGCUCAGGCUCCACAGUCCACAACUGGUCCAGGCACGGGUCGUCCCCAAGCACUACCCGCCAACGUCGUCCUACACGACAUGCUCUACAGAGCUACACACUCUAUCGGCUCCUAGGCACCUAGUGCGAGCCACCAGCCCUCACGAGUGAUCCAUGGCCCGCUUCACACUUAGCCCUGCUGAAGUGCUACUGCCAAUUCACUCGACCGGCUGAAUCAAAACCGCACUUCACGAGUAUCUAUACUCGAGCGCUCUAUGCCUCUACGACGUCUCACACGAAGUCCAGCAUCAGGGAGCUUAGCCCAUGCGCACCGGCCACACGAGCAACAACUCGUCCACCUCAAUUCGAGGUACUACUAGGCCCACAGGCCAAACUUGGCCUCAACCAACCGCUCUCUCAACAGUGAUUCUACUUUCACUGUUCAAUCUACCGAAACAACAUCCGAGAUGCUCAGGCCACUCGGGUAUUCGCAACGUCACGGCGCAACUCUCGCAAUUUGAUACUCAUUGCCUUGAGAGUCGCUCCACCAUUUCACGUUCACCACAAGUCCCAUUCUUCGUCCAAGAACCAUCGCUAGCGAUUCGCUAGUGUCUCUUGGCUUUCUACCUGCUCCAGUAGGCGCUACACUCUCACGAUGCAAGCAUGCUCGGGUGCUUACCUACUCGACCACUCGGUCCCUACUAUGCAAUAUGUAAUUAGUAGGUGCUGCUCAUAUAAUAAAUGCAUGCAAUGCAUCAACUUGAGAUUACGCAAAAGCAUAUGCUUAUUUAAUUAACUCAUACCUGCAACGGCAUCAUCGAUGGCAGCAGGUUCCUCAACCUGGGUCGCAUAUCCCUGGCCACUUAGUGCUCGCCGCGAACCCUCCAAUUGCAUCGUCCUCAACGGCCGCUCCCCCGAUCAUGCCGCAGGUGGCACACCUGGAGGCUGUCCCAGAGAGGAAUGGGCCGUCGCCAGCAUCAAGGCCUGGCUCUCACUUUGCGGGCACUCGUCCCGCACAUGGCCGGGCUGUCCACAACGGAUACACCGUCCAUCACGCAGCGCACAUCGCCGCGCCUGGUGGGAACCACCACAAAUCACACAUCCAGAGGAGGAUCGGGUAGAGGAUGACCUCGAGCGGUGUCUGGAACUUGACUGAUCACCCGAACCACUCGAUAAUGGCCUCGCCUCUCCUCGCUCAUGCCAACGAGAUUCGCGCUCCUCACGCACGAAAGCCUCGCCAUGCUCCGCCCAUAAAGCCCGAUCCAACACCUCGGCAAAGGUUGUGAGCUGGAAGAUUUGCACCCUCCUAUAAAUCUCCGGUCGGAGUCCACGCAGGAACCAAUCGGCCUUAUCCCUGUCAUCCCGUUCCACAUCCGGGACACAAUUCACGAUGCGGGAAAAUUUUCGUUCGUAUUCCCUCACAGAGCAGUCUCCUUGCCGCAGCUUCCUGAACUUGUCCCGAAGCUUUCUCCUUUCAUUGUCGGGGAAGUACGUAGAAAACAUUAAUCCCCGAAAUUCAUCCCACGCCAUAGGAGGAAGACUAGGUGAUCGAUCCCGUCGAAUGCCUUUCCACCACGCCUUUGCUGAUUGCUUCAAGCAAUGCACAGCUAGGGGCACCUUGUCCCGCUCCAAGGUGUAUAGCUUCUCAAAUAGCGUCUCCAUGGAGUCAAUCCACAUCUCCACGAUCCACGGAUCGACAUCCUCUCCAUCGAAGAUAGGCAGAUCGAAUUUCUUGAAGGUCAUUAGGGUCGCCAAAGUCCGUUCUUUCUCCGCCUCCAAUUCCACAGAACCAGGGGCCACCGCCCCCGAAUCCAUCGCGACUCCUGUUGGUACACGGCACGCUGCUACCGGCGCAGCCGCCGCAGGCUGUCGUGUCUACAAUUCAUAGAGCUCCUUGAUCUGCUCCUCCUGUCGCUGCACUAUACCCAUGAGCGUAUUCAAUUGCUCGCGGAGCAUCGGGUCUCCGCUCACCUCAGUUUGCUCAGGAACACCACUUGUCCCUUCCCGCACCGAUCUGGAUAAGGAUCGCCUACGCGGUGCCAUCGCUUCCUGAAACACGACAACUCGAUUAGUUCUCGACCAACUUGGGUCUAACACGAGACCACUAACAACGGCUCAAAAGCCAAUUAGGCGAAAGUCACGCGAGGGCGUCUAUUCUCAUCACUAGGUUUCAUGUUGUCGUACGCCAACAUGAACAUCCUCGGCUGAGAAUAAACCACACCUCAAGUCUACCUCUAAUAUCCGUCUUAGAGAUUUAUGACACAACCCAAUCCAUUAAGCUUUCGCCACAAUUCAUAGGUCCUCGUCUCUCACGAGCCUUAUUCUCCUAUGGUUUACUAUCCUAGGGUCUCCUAGGUCUGCCUAAACCAUUCUCAUUCUCUACUUUAUUCUCUGAUACCACUUUAUCUGUCACGCCCCGCGACCAACCGCCAAUUUGGACCGGGUCGCGGCGCCGACGACAGACCGCAGAACGGACCGGGGUUUCCCCUGUACGCGGACAGAGUCUCCCCAGUACGUCCUAGGGGUCGCAAUCCAAAACAAUAUAAAUGGUUCCAACCAGGAACAGAUAUCAAUCAUGAUUAAGGAAGUAUCAAACAAUAUAAACACAUCCUAUGUUAUUACAUGCAUUCACGUUAGAUUCAUUUAUUUACAUCAACUUCCAAACCAACUAAGUUAUUACAAGUUUAAUACAUUUAUUCCUCUCAUUUUCUAUACCCCUAAGCUACGUCAACGGGGUACUGCUAGCUCUGGUCUCUGGGGGUAGGGCGCUAUCUAUGGAGCUACGCCCUUACCUCGCGCCGCCGCGCCGCUCACGUGCGAACCUGUAAAACUACAAAACAACGUGGGGUGAGAACCAACUCCAUGGUUCCCAGUGGGUACGGCAACCCAAGGGAGGAGCUCGACCAACAGGUCCACGGGAGGCAAAUACAAGUUAGUCCAAUAAACAGAUAGAUAUGUAUAUCAUAAGCAUGCAACUAACUUUACCUUGCUUUGCUUCACAACUGCAAUGAUGCCAUGCUAUAUGCAACAGGAAUAUAUGCAACAUAAAUAUAUGCAACAACUAGUAGAAUUAUUGAUUCUACAAUCAAUCUCGCUAAUCUUAGCUCAUGUCAUCCAACUCUAAGGUUUUUACUACCUUAGGUUUACACAUUUACCACUAGCCCUCAAGGUUCUAUCUACCUUAUUCCAGCUAGCUACCCGACUCGGCCUCGAGUCAAUCAACAGCAGAUAAUCCAUGCUCUGCCCGGCUCGGGGUGAAGGACCCUGUCACAACGCACCUCAGCCUGCAAGCCAAGAACUACAUCGCCCAACGGUCCGCCCGAAGGUCCGUGCACCGUGGUCAGGGAUCCGCCAGAUGGAGAGGAACAUAGCCGCAUACACCCAUAGCCAAGACCCCCGAUAGGGAGAGGAACAUGCCGCGUACACCCUAGCGCUCUUUGUUCUUACUUAGUCACAAUCCUCAAAGUUCUUCCGGUGGGAGAGGAACAUGCCACAUACACCCGCGGUCCAAGAACUAUUGAGUUCACAAGUCUCAGGAUUUCGUAAUCCACUUCACAAGUCAAGGGUCCAUAUCCAACGCUAUACUAUUGACCUAUCUAGGUCCAAUGCACUUUUCACCCUAGGUCCAACUGACUCUAGGUCUAAUGCCUCGAUGUCACAACCUAGGUUUACUUUAACUCUAGGUUCAGUUCUCAAUCUAUGUUCUUUAACAAUAGGUUAGAUACCACACACCUAGAUCCCGAGUCUAGGUUCAUACUCAACCUAUGUUAUUUAACACUAGGUUAGAUGCCACUCGUUAUUUAUCCUAGGUUCAACAACACUAGGUUCAAUGUCAUCUAUGUCCGACCUAUGUUUAUUAACACUAGG
RNAcentral lists this long non-coding RNA (7033 nucleotides) under Ananas comosus (pineapple). Its description in RNAcentral is "long non-coding RNA (ACOM_LNC013431)". Lineage: Eukaryota; Viridiplantae; Streptophyta; Magnoliopsida; Poales; Bromeliaceae. The record is from RNAcentral.